AGCUUUUCGAAUCCAUGCAGAGAUUUCGUCAGACACUAACCCACUAAGGCUGAUCAGACUUUCAAUAUAAGUGAAGUU
Non-coding RNA from Schistosoma mattheei, 78 nucleotides. Lineage: Eukaryota; Metazoa; Platyhelminthes; Trematoda; Strigeidida; Schistosomatidae. The record is from Rfam.